GUAGGUGGCAAGCGUUGUCCGGAUUUACUGGGUGUAAAGGGCGCGUAGGCGGGAUAUCAAGUCAGUCGUGAAAUACCGGGGCUCAACUCCGGGGCUGCGAUUGAAACUGAUAUUCUUGAGUAUCGGAGAGGAAAGCGGAAUUCCUAGUGUAGCGGUGAAAUGCGUAGAUAUUAGGAGGAACACCAGUGGCGAAGGCGGCUUUCUGGACGACAACUGACGCUGAGGCGCGAAAGUGUGGGGAGCA
RNAcentral lists this ribosomal RNA (244 nucleotides) under uncultured bacterium. RNAcentral's name for it is "partial 16S ribosomal RNA". It matches the Rfam family "Bacterial small subunit ribosomal RNA", at positions 527 to 770 of the family's 1533-position model. The record is from RNAcentral.